RNAcentral lists this long non-coding RNA (220 nucleotides) under Lotus japonicus. RNAcentral describes it as "long non-coding RNA (LJAP_LNC000795)". The record is from RNAcentral. Lineage: Eukaryota; Viridiplantae; Streptophyta; Magnoliopsida; Fabales; Fabaceae.
UUUUUGGAGAGAGAAUUCGAGAGAGAACAAAAAGGGAAGGAACUUAGAGCUUGGGUAAGCUUCCAUCGAGCUGGAGCUACGCCGAAGUCGGCACGGAUCAUCACUUCCAUCCUAUUUCUCUUGUAAGCUUGUCUAGCUUCCAUGUCUAUGGAUAGCUAAGCUUUUCUUUGUUAGGAUUUGGUGUAGUACCUUGACUCUAUGUAUCUAAUUUAGUUCUUAU